Long non-coding RNA from Camelina sativa (false flax), 1134 nucleotides. RefSeq lists it as uncharacterized. The record is from RefSeq and is a predicted model, not a curated record. NCBI's taxonomy places the organism in Eukaryota, Viridiplantae, Streptophyta, Magnoliopsida, Brassicales, Brassicaceae.
ACCUGAAUCGUUUUAUUUUCUUCUUUUCUCUUCCUCAUCUCCUUCACACUUCUUCUUCCUCUCUAGGGUUAAGAGUAGGGAGAAGCCAAGGUUUUUGCUAAGCAGCCAUGAGUGAGACGAGAGAUAAGCAUUGCAUACCCAGAUCCGUUUCUUACAACCCAAAUUCUUCGUUGUUGUUCUCCUUUAGCUCUUCCUUUACUCUCCGUAGCUCUCACCUUCUCAUUAAAAUGUCAAUUUCAUCUCGUCGGAGAAGGUUUGUUGUUUCUCUCUCUCUUUCCCCCUUUGAAUCUGGGUUUGGAAUUAGGGUUACUUAGAUAUGUUAUUCUUCUUCUACGGUUUUGAGUCUAUUGAGCAAAGGACUGCAAGAGGUUUUACAGAUCGAAAUCACCGAAGAAGAUUUUUCUCACUAGGACCGACUAUGACAGAGGAGUCAACACUUUUUCUCCCGAAGGAAAGCUGUUCCAAGUUGAAUAUGUCAUUGAAGCUAUCAAGGAGGACUAGUGGCCCUAUUAGACGAGCUAAAGGUGGUUGAACUCUUGAGGAUGAGACACUUAGACGAGCUGUUGACAAGUUUAAGGGGAAGAGGUGGAAGAAAAUAUGUAAAUUUUCUUUCCUUGAUCAAAGUCAUCAAAGUCAAAGUUUUCAUAGGUUUCAAUUUCAAGUCAUGAGUUUGUUAAUGGAUUUAUGUCUUUGGUGGGUUUCUCUCAGAUCAAGUGUCGGCUAUUUUGGUUGAGUCUUGUAUUGCUAGUUAUGCCGGUAUAACUACAAGCUCCAUGGUUAUUGGGGCAGUAGGUGGCUUUAAGAACUCAAGGCUCAACUCGGCUCAACUCAGUGUCACCAAAGUCACCGAAGGUACUCAAAACAAGCUCUCUAAAAGCAUAUCACAUUCCUGAAGCUGGAGGACUUCAAGAAGGCGAAGGAGAAGGUUAUAUUUAAGAAGCAAGUUGGAGUUCCUGAAGCUUUUAACGUCUGUUCAUAAACUUUUUUUGAUGGUAUGUAGUAAAUAUUGUAUAAGACUUGGUUUGAUGACUUGUUGUAGUCUAAAAUAUGGUAUGUAUGUUUACUAAUAACUAGGUUCGAACCCGCGGUACACCGCGGGUCAAAUGUUUUAUAAUUUUUAGAUUUUUGAUCUUU